This 253-nucleotide ribosomal RNA is filed under the name uncultured bacterium. RNAcentral describes it as "partial 16S ribosomal RNA". It matches the Rfam family "Bacterial small subunit ribosomal RNA", at positions 524 to 776 of the family's 1533-position model. The record is from RNAcentral.
UACGGAGGGGGCUAGCGUUGUUCGGAAUUACUGGGCGUAAAGCGCACGUAGGCGGAUUGUUAAGUCGGGGGUGAAAUCCCGGGGCUCAACCCCGGAAUUGCCUCUGAGACUGGCAGUCUUGAGGUCGGGAGAGGUGAGCGGAAUGGCGAGUGUAGAGGUGAAAUUCGUAGAUAUUCGGCGGAACACCAGUGGCGAAGGCGGCGCACUGGCCCGGUACUGACGCUGAGGUGCGAAAGCGUGGGGAGCAAACGGG